AGUGAACGCUGGCGGUAGGCCUAACACAUGCAAGUCGAACGGCAGCACAGUAAGAGCUUGCUCUUACGGGUGGCGAGUGGCGGACGGGUGAGGAAUACAUCGGAAUCUACUUUUUCGUGGGGGAUAACGUAGGGAAACUUACGCUAAUACCGCAUACGACCUACGGGUGAAAGCAGGGGAUCUUCGGACCUUGCGCGAUUGAAUGAGCCGAUGUCGGAUUAGCUAGUUGGCGGGGUAAAGGCCCACCAAGGCGACGAUCCGUAGCUGGUCUGAGAGGAUGAUCGGCCACACUGGAACUGAGAAACGGUCCAGACUCCUACGGGAGGCAGCAGUGGGGAAUAUUGGACAAUGGGCGCAAGACUGAUCCAGCCAUACCGCGUGGGUGAAGAAGGCCUUCGGGUUGUAAAGCCCUUUUGUUGGGAAAGAAAAGCAGCAGGUUAACACCCCGCUGUUCUGACGGUACCCAAAGAAUAAGCACCGGCUAACUUCGUG
This 492-nucleotide ribosomal RNA is filed under the name uncultured bacterium. RNAcentral's name for it is "partial 16S ribosomal RNA". It matches the Rfam family "Bacterial small subunit ribosomal RNA", at positions 29 to 507 of the family's 1533-position model. The record is from RNAcentral.